This 2590-nucleotide long non-coding RNA is filed under the name Malus domestica (apple). RNAcentral describes it as "long non-coding RNA (MDOM_LNC013656)". Lineage: Eukaryota; Viridiplantae; Streptophyta; Magnoliopsida; Rosales; Rosaceae. The record is from RNAcentral.
GUAUCAUAUAUUUAUAUUUUUAGUUUGUACCCACUUUUAAUAUUCAAUCUUUUUUUAAAGUUGUAGAUUUUAUUUUUAGUUUUAAUUUGUACCCAUGUAUUAAUUUCUUUUUGCGCCCAUAUUUUUAAAAAUGUCAUUUGUACUCAUAAUUUUUUAAUCUUUUAUUUGUACCCUAAUUUAUUUAUAAUGUACCCAUUCUUCUUUAUUAAUGUACCACUUUGUUAUAUGUGAAAUGUACCAAUUUUUUUAACAAUAUGGAUACAUUCUUUUGCCAUUUAUUAUUUCGUAUUGUUACAUAGUUUUUAUCCAUUUAUUUAAUUAAAAUGUUUGAAUUUUUUUAUUGUAGCCAUUUCUAAUCGUAUUAUAAUGAAGGAUUUUAAAUUUAUAGGAUUAUAAAUCUCAUAAAAUAUCAAACAAUUAAUAUCAAAACUGUAAAAAUAUAAAUAUUGAUAGUAAGAUAAUGAGAUGUACAAAGUUAAUGAACUUUGAUUAAAUUUUGAAUACCAUUAGGGUUUUAAUCAAAGAGUGUUAGAGACAAAAGACCGCAUCCAAAGUAUUCUUUAAUUUAUUUUCCAACCUUGGGAAUGUUGAUAGAUGAAGGAAGGACAUUCUUCAGCGUAGCAGCUUGGCCAAUAACUAAAUUAGAUUGUCGAGAUGGAGUUUCAUGUACAUUCAUCUGUUGCUUAAUUUGUUCGUUUGUACCUCCUCUUUUCUUGUAUUCGUUUUCUUCAAGUUUGAGGAUGUGUCAAAGUUUUUAUUCCCUUCUCAUUUCCUACAUUAUGAGAGGCAUGUUUUUUAUCUGCCGACCAAAUUUAAUUUUUAUUUUUUAUAUUAAUAAAAAAUUUCUCGUUAAAAAAAAAUAUUUCAGAGUAAAUGAAGUAAUUCUUGACGUCCUUUUGCAAAAAGAAUACUGAUAACAGGGAUUUGGAUCCUCUUCUGAGCUAAUGGAGAGGAUCCUCCUUACCAGUCAUUGUGGACCGUUAAAUUUUUAUCCAACAGCUAUAAUUAUUAUAACUUUAAAAGAAUCCGCUGUUUGUACUUAUUGGAUAAAAAUUCAACGAUUCACGAUAACUGGUCAGGAGGAUCCUCUCCAUUAGCUCAUGAGAGGAUCCAAAUCCUGAUAACAGUACCUUGGACUUCUGUGAAAAAGUUGGAUUUGACACCUUUAGAAACGACAAAGAUUUUAUAUAUUAUCUCUCAAAUAUACGGCGGGGAGUUAAUUGGCAUUAUCUUAAGACGGCGCCUUAGUUUUUUGACGAUGUGGUACCCUAGGAGGACUUUAAUUAUUGGGAAAAUUUGAAAUAGGUACGUUUGUCUGGCCUUUGCUCGACUUUGGUCAUCACCUACGUCAUACGUGUUACAUGUUCGGAGAAACCCAAUACCACAUUCAAGUACAAUUUCACAACCAUGACCAAAAUCAAUUAAAAUCCAAGGCCCAAUAAUCAACGAUACCAUCGAAAACACAAAUCAUUUAGUAUAAAAUAUUUAUAAAAAUAAUACGGGAAAAAUCCAACGAGGCAAGUGAACCCAUACCUCAAUUCAAAACUUAGAUCGUACUUUUAUCAUAGUUCACAAAUUAAUCAUACUCGAAUUCGCACACAUGUCACGAAUCUCUAAUUCUAAUAAUAAACCAUAAUUGUAUUUCUGUCCAAAGGUUUUCUAUGCAUAAAUCCAAACACAUAAAAACCAACUUAGAUUAAUCAAAUCCUUGACUAAAAGACAUAAAUUGGAUUCACCAAUUAUCUCAAUGCUUCAAAUAGCGUUCUCACCUAUUUGAACUGAUUAUAGUUCCCAGCAAUUAAAUCAGUUCAAUGAUUUACCCUAAUUUUUUAUAUUGGUGUGCAACAUUCAUUCAAGCUCCAAACAUCACAAUCCAUCAAGAACACACUAGAAAUCAAACAUUUAAGCUUAGUUAGUAAGAAUCCCAAAUAAAAUUGAAUUCUGGAACGCGUACAACAGUCUUCAAAAUUUACCUAUUUGUAAUCCGACUUAUAAAACUCAGGUUAUGAAAUUACAGUGAAGAAGUUGGAACUUCUGUUUAAUUUUUUCUUCUUUUUCUUCGGGUCUAAAGGCAAGGAAAACACUUUGUUUUCCCUCUUUGAGACAUCACGUCCUCCAGCUCCCCUCUUCAAUUCAUUCCUUUACACUUUUCUUUUAUCUGUGGUCCAAUUAAGAUUCUCCACGUGUGACCACAUGUCAACCGCAAACAAGACCUGCACCUUUGUUGGCUACCUGCUAUUUGCACAUGUAACUCACCUCUAAAAUUGAAACACGCAAUAAAUUAACUCAUCUCAGUGAUUUUAGUAGUGGGGAUCCUUGUUUAGUAAUAAAAAAGUUUACUAGCUAAACCAUGAUGAUUUUGUUGCCGUGCUUCUAAAGAAAGUUAAAAUUUUAUUAUAAAAUUAAUUGGUAAUAUGAAGAAUAAUUUUACUUAUUUAUAAGUCAAUGUAAGGUUCAUCAUCUCAUCAAUGCGGAUUCAUUCUCAAUACGCUCAUUCAGGUGUGACCAUUUCUCAAGCUUAACACGUAGAAUACAUAACAAGGUGACGUAGAGCACGUGUGGAUGUUUGGCUGCACAUGUGGGACAACCU